GAGGUCUCCCCGAUACUGUGGAGAGUUCGACCAGGUCUUAAAAUUGUGUGGCUACCAGCCCAGGCCUUUGGCUUUCUCCUUCUGUUAGCCUUCACUCAAUUCACUGAGCUUAGGAGAGACCGGCAGGCUUUAACCAAUGAGAUCCCCACCAUCAAACUCCAGCACUUCCUUCAACGGAGAAAUGGUGAUGGUGUGAUGAUGAUGGUGGUGGUGAUGAUAGUGAUGAUGAUGACUCCAUUAAAGUUCUCCUAUUCCUCAUUGUUGUGGAGGUGACCUGGCUUCUUGAAGGGAAUGCCAUUGGAAUGUUGACUUUGAACAACCGGAUUGCCAUGUACAGUUUAAGUAAACUCCACCAUAUGCUGAUUGACUGAGUAACAUCUGGCUGGCCCAUCUGACCACCCAAAAGUUAGUUGUCCAGUAGCCAACUUGAAAUGAAACUGUAAGUAUAUAAACUUGUUUAAGAAACAGUAAACUUUACAUACACACAGAAAUCUAAGCCGAAAGCCAUUCUGGCAGGCAGAGAGAUGGGGGGGGGGGGGAGAUAACACAAACUAUAGAUUUGCAAAAUGGCCAAAGGGAG
This 580-nucleotide long non-coding RNA is filed under the name Monodelphis domestica (gray short-tailed opossum). Its description in RNAcentral is "lncRNA (ENSMODG00000039767.1)". Lineage: Eukaryota; Metazoa; Chordata; Mammalia; Didelphimorphia; Didelphidae. The record is from RNAcentral.